This is a long non-coding RNA of Passer domesticus (house sparrow), 848 nucleotides long. RefSeq lists it as uncharacterized. The record is from RefSeq and is a predicted model, not a curated record. Lineage: Eukaryota; Metazoa; Chordata; Aves; Passeriformes; Passeridae. The transcript is spliced from 3 exons.
UUGCCUUACCACCAACACCAGUAUGACAGCUGAAUCGAGGCCAAAGGGCUUUUGAAGUCACCACUGGCAUGGUAAAGCCAGAAUACUUCAAUUAAAAAAAAAAAAAUCUGAAAAGAUCAAUAUAGAAAGACUGAGACCACAGAAAUUAAACCCUUUUAAGAUUAACUUAAAAGAAUAGAACACAAUUGGAACAUGCACUGUGAAGUCACUACAGACAAUACACUGUGUAGUGUGUUUACACAAGUAGUCAGGGAACAAAGCAAUUGGUGCAAGUUUUGUGAUGUAUCAUCACUCAGUAUGAGGUUUCAAGUGAACACCACCCUGGAUCAUUCCAGCACUGUCCAGGAUGACUGAACUGUGGAGGAAAGCACAGUCUGUGCCUCCACAUUAUCAGGAAGACGGCCAAAGGACACUUCCCACCCACAAAAGGAUGAACUGGGAGUAGUUUACAUGGCUUUCUCUGACUGAAUCCUGCCUCCAUUCUGCCUCCAAGGCCCAGAAAAGUUCUGCUACUGACUCCAAGGAGGAGCAACAAUUUCUGGCUCCUGCUGUUUCCCUCUGCUUCUGCUUUGCAAUUCCGCUUGCCUCCUUCUCUGGCCCACAUCUUAUGGGCUACUGUAUUUCCAAGUGUGCUCCUGCCUCAGUCUUCUUCCGGCCACACUCCCUGCUCCCCUCAGGGUUGCUCUUCUAUAAUGAACAGAGGAAUAGCAUGAAAAGACAAAUUCAGGAUAAAAACUUGGCAAACCUUGCAGGCAAAGAUAACUUAGCUUGUAAACAGACUUUCACGGUGAUGGAAUAACCCUAAAGUCUAAAAUUAAACUAAUAAAUAAGAACGAUGCAACCUGUAA